UAACAAACAGGACAACAUUCCCUGUUGAUGUAAGAGGGCAAAAAAGAAAAAAAAAGGUGAGCUUGUAUUAGGAGAGAAUUUGGGUGGCUGUGUGUUCUCUGUAUGGUGGUAUCGAACCUGUACUGCCAGAUCCAGAUAUGCAAAAACCGUUAUCAGCAACCAGGACUAAAGAGGACAUCCAAAAGCAUUCAAGACCUCAUAGGCUAGAAACUGCAAGUAACUGCAGCAAUAAAAUCAAGGUAAAAGCUUACCCAUGAAAGAUCUCUCAAAGGCAGAUCUCACUGAAGAGUAGCAGAGAAUUUCAUCACUGCCAUGAGCCUUUUCCACCUAUCUGCUACUCCCUGUUGCUCCUCCUGCAGCUGGCAAGACAUGUAGGGGGUGAGGUAUUGCUGUUCAGCUCAGCAGAAUUUACAAUGCACAUUGGAUCAUCCAUUCUGCUGCUCCUUGACAGGUGACAGAGAUGUUCAACCUAAUAAAGGGAAUUUAAACUAUAUUUUCCAUAUGUUUCUCAUUUGCACUUCACUGAUGGAAUUCCAAAUCAAC
Phalacrocorax carbo (great cormorant) is the source of this 543-nucleotide non-coding RNA. NCBI's taxonomy places the organism in Eukaryota, Metazoa, Chordata, Aves, Suliformes, Phalacrocoracidae. The record is from RefSeq and is a predicted model, not a curated record.